GCGGAAUAUAAACCAGAGUACUCAAAAUAUACAUGUCAUGAAUCAAUUAUUACAUCAACAUGGAUGAAUCUCAAAACCCUAACACACGGGUAAUCUCCAAUCAUAACAAAUAAUCCAAAACAAAUGAUCUAGACUACGACAGACGCCUAGAUCAGAGCCAACCUAACUCUAUAGACACUGAUACCGGAGAUAGCUCCCAAUAUCCACCAAGCACAAGAACUCACCGAGCAACUAAUCCUGCACAACGUCUACCCAUCCAUACAGAUAGGUAGGCGGCCAAAACCACUGGGGUAAGUAUUACAUCAUCAUAAUCCACAUAACAGUUAACAUGAAUAUUUCAAACUAAACAUCAUGCACUUGAUCAAUAAUAGUAUUCACACACAUAUAUAUAUAUAUAUAUAUAUAUAUAUAUAUAUAUAUAUAUAUAACACAAUUCCAAUAUCUCACAUCAAUAAUCACCAAUCACAUGUGUCAUGAACAAAUAUCAAUUCACAGUUAUUCAUACACAAUCACCAAUCACAUAUAUCAUGAACAAUCUUCAAUCAUAUUUCAUGAAUAAUCACCAACCACAUUUAUCAAUAAGAUUCAUGUCAUGAUAUGCACCUAUUGACACAUAUAUGCAUGUGGUACCAUAUUACCUCAAGGUCGUCACCUUCGAUGCAACAAAAACAUCGUAUGUAAGAUUUCACACCCGUCUUACAUAAUCUCCGAAGUAAAAGAGUUCAACCCUUUUACAACUACAAACUCAACGAGACUAUGAUGCAUGGACAUGUAACAAGACUCGAUAAUGCGACAACAAUCCACAAUUUUUACCACAAUAUAUAGGACAACUCCCAAUUAUAUUGAUCAUCUCCGCAACAUUUGCAUUAUCAAGAAAACAUGUCCAUACACAAUCAAUUCAUAGUAUUCAUCAUCACACAUCAACAUGAUUAUCAAUAAUCAACAAUGUCAUUCAACAUCAACUAUCACAUAUAGUUUCACCAUUUCAAGCAUUCUCAUAUUCCAAGUAAGAGAACAUACAAUAUCUUAUGAUAAAUAUCAUAUCCAGCACAUAACAAUUCAUUCACACAUCUCCAUUUAGUCAUACAAGACUAGUCACGAAAGAUCAUAAGACAAUUGGUUUAAAGAACCAUUUUCCAAUAAAAAUCCACAUCAAGUGGCAAACGGCCAACAUUGAUAACUCUCAAAGUAAAGUAACUUAUUCAAGUUUGGAAACUAACAAAUCAAUCUUAAUCAAUCAUAUAGUCAUGAGAUUAAGCCACUUACAAACUAUUAGACAUUAGUUCAAAGAAUAACUUAAGUUCGUAUGAGAAAAUCCCAAGUUUACACAUUCCACAAUCCCACCCGAAAAUCAAGUUUGCCAUGAUUAAGACAUUGUACCAACCUUACAAGCCUUGUCUAAGCCUAUAUGAAUUGUAGACCAAGUUUGCAAUCCUUUUUGUUCACAAAAUUCCAAUUUUCGACAAUUUCCGAAAAACCGAAAACGACACAAACUCAAGUUUCAAACUAUUUGGAAAAUUGAAGUUUUGACAAAGCCAAAUGUCUUCCAGUAGAAAGGUAAGUGAAAACAGCAAAAGAACACUUCAAAACGAUCGCCUAGGACCCCUACACGACCAGCCCCAAGCACCCGGACACGGAACAACGUUCCCGUUGUCCUGUCCUGGGCGCCUGGCGCUAGAGGUGCAGCGCCUAGCGCUAGCUCACUGACAUUCAGGCGCCUAGCACCGUUACUCAGGCGCAGCGCUCCGUAACGCACGUUUACGAGUGUUUCGGCCGCGGGUUUUCGCCAAUUUCGCUCCAAAAUCGAAUGUGUAAAACCCCUAAUCAUCAAAAGUGAUCUGAGGCAUAACCCGAGACUCUAACACGUCAAACUCGCUCGUUUCGUGGCAUUUUGAAUAAGUUAUGGAAUUGUUUUAAAAUGAUUUUUCUCAAAACAACAAAUCUUCAACAACAACAACAAUUCAUUUCUUCCAAUUCAACACAAUUCAACAACAACAUCUCAACAUAAUUCAUACCCAUGUCAUGCAAUGAGAUUAUCAUCAACAAUUAACCACAACCACAACUUAUGAUCAUGCAUUCCAUCAUAUUUCAACAACAACAUGUCAUAAUUCACCAAUUUCACAAAACCACCAACAACAAUCCAUUUCUCAACAACAAAUCAUGAAUCAUGCAAACCUAAGCCAUGAUUUAUCAUAAACAACAUGACAUAGCAACAACAACAUCAAUUGAUCAUGAAACUUAUCACAAUUCAUCAACCACAUAGCAUAACUCACCAAUUGAGCAUAUUUUCAACAUAUAUCAAUUUCUCAUACUUUGAACAUGUAAUUCAACCAACAACAAUUCAAUUAUUCAUAACUUCAUACAUCUAAACAUGUCAUCAUAAUUAGAGUACGAAUUUCAUCAUCCAUGAACAAUUAAUCAAUUCACCCAAUUAAGCACUUAUUCAUACAAUAAUUGAAAAAUUGCAAUAAAUGAUUAUGAUGAAUUCUAACCCCCUUACCUUAGUUAGAUUAAUCUCCCUAGCUUAGGCUUCAAUUUUGCUCAUAGCUCUUCCCCCAAUCCUUGAUUCUUCAAGUUCCUCUUCUCUCUAACCUUUCUUCUCUUGCUCCCACUUUCUCUCUCUAACUCUCUCAAAAAUAUCUUAUGAAAUGAAAGUGUGAGGAAAUUUCCUCUAAGACAAGGUUUUUGUAGUAAAUCCCCCUUAAUGGGCCUAACUCUCAAACUUAAUGGAUUUAACCCAUUCCAACUUAAUUCUCAAAUGUUUCUACACACACAACGGUAAAUCACUAAUAACGGUCAAAUAACGGUAAAAUGUCACCAACGGUCACUAAACGGUAAAACCUUAAUUAUUUACUCUAGUAACUUAGUAAAACAACGGUUCUCACUAAUCACUAAAAGUAAUUCUCACCAAAACUUAUAAUUUUACCCGUUCUCACAAAAUGACCAAAAUACCCCUAAGUCUUAAAUGACUAAAAUACCCUUCUAACACGGGAACCCAUGAAAAUGCACCCAAUGAUGAAUAAUCACACACAAGUACAUAUAAACACAUAAUAAAAGUAAUUAAAAUUAAUCUGGUUUAAAAAAAUCAGGCUGUUACAAGUCGCACCCUCCCACACAAGCUAUGUUGUCCAAAUGCAAUACCUGUCGACGUAACAAGUUAUCUUUCGUAGGUAAUAUAUUUCGAAAUAGUCUCCAAGCAAACAUCGACACCUUCAGUGGAGCUUGCUUAUGCCACACCUCUUCCACCAAUCCCCUUUCCGGAGGCUCGUUCGCCGUCGUGAGAUAUUGAUAGGUUCCCUUCACUAAAUAGCCGUGAGCGGGAUCAAUGAGCCACCUCCACCUGUCAGGAACAUGAGCCUGCAAAACAACAUCAUGCAGUGGUAUAGAACAUUUUGUGACACUCUCCUCCUGCCAAGCAUGCAGGCGCCUCCGCCAGCCCCACACAUCACCUCCCUCCUCCCACCCAUGCCUCUCCAUGUUCUCCAUCGUCUCCCACCUGUUUUCAGCCAACUCAAAAAGGCGUGGGAAGCAAACCCGUAGGGGAACUCAACCCACCUAGUUGUCAGUCCAAAAAUAAGUGUCCCUUCCUCCACCUACUACCCUUCGGACAUUAUCUUAAAACCAACUCCCAACUCCCAAACCGACACCAUUGCGAAUACCACACAUCAUCCGCCACCACAAAGAACUCUACCUACCACUCUCCUUCAACCUUCCUCCCUCCUCCCCGUACCUAGCCUUUAAGACUCGAUACCAUAAUCUAUCCUUCUCUUCUAACAUCCUCCAACACCACUUUCCUAACAGUGUCUAACAUAUUAAAAAGGCAUUUAGAAUCAAAGGGUGGAUAUUGAAUAUAACACGUGCAUAUAUAAAAACUAAAACAAAUAUAUAAAUGUAGGACACAUGUUAAAAAAUUUACAAAUACUCUAAAAAAAAAUCGCAAAUAGUAAAUAUUUAUUGAGAAGAAGUAAUUAUCAAAAUUUUGAAAUAUAAAUUGGAACAAUUUCCGGUACAUAAUUCUAUCGUCUUUUUAGUGGUCAGGAUUUGAACCCCAAACCUUAUAUAUAUUAUGCAUUGUCCCUAUCAACUGAGUCAAUUUCACAAGGACACAUAAUUUCUAUCUUUACUAUACUAACACGUGUCUUAACAUUUCUCUAUUUUAAAAACAUGUAAAACAUUGUUCAUCAAAAUAUUCAUUAAAAUUGUUAGGCAAGUAAUCUAAAAAGAAAAAUAAGUACCAAAAGUUUAUCAUAAAGACAAAAAGAGAAAAACUAUAUAAGUUUGGACAUGCAACAACAUUGAAACUCUUAAAAAAAAUUGUCGUUUACUCAAGUUCUACAACAUUAAAAAAUAAUUCUGUCAAAAAAAAAUUAAAAAUACUCCCUCCGUCCUAUAAUAACUGAGUCAUUUGCAAAAAAAAAAAAAAAAAUUGUUCCAAAAAAAUUGACCUAUUACCUUUUUCAAUCCAACAUUAAUUACUUUUUUCCAACUAUAAUUCUAAUUAAUAUUAUCUACAUUACUCCCAAUUCAAUAUAUUCUAAUUUGCAUUUAUGAUAAGAAAGAAUGCACCAAUACUUACAAGACACUCAAAACUAUUUUUCUCUCUCUUUCACUUAUACACUUAUGUGUGAAAUCAACAAAAGGCUCAGUUAAAAUGCGACGGAGGGAACCAAGUUACUUGGGCUCUAGUGGCAAAUAGCUUUUUCCAAAGAUGUAUCCGGAAAAUACCGGAUUCGAUUUCCAGGGGAACAACGUUUGACCAGUAUGCAUGCCUCUACGCAUGAGUUGGAUUAAUCGUUUAUAUUUAGUGGAUCAAAAACAGAUGCGAAAACUAAAAAGAAAAAAUGAGACGGAGGGAGUAAUCUUCAUAGUUACGUGUAGAAAUUAUCAUAUUCGAAAAGAGGACAUUUAUUUGCUUAUUUCUUUUUAGCUUUUGAAGUAUUUUCACACUCAUAGGUUUGCCCAAUUAUGCAAUUAAGAUUCACUGGCGUAGAGUUCAAGUUGGCAACUGAACUGCGCCUAGUCACAAGUCACAGCUUUCCAAGUCAAUAAGAGCAAUUAUUUGCUCACGAAAUAAAAAGCAUAUGGUAUGAAAAUGAUGUUGACUACCAGCAACAAAAACACUGUAUUAAACUCAUACGUAAGACGACAUGAAUACUACAUAAUCUUUUUGAAAUCUAGGAUAUGAUAGAGGAUAAAAAUGUUUUUUUUUUCGGAUGAGGAUAAACAUGUUAAAUAAAUAUAGAAAAAAGAAUGUUCAUAAAAAAGAUAGUUACUAUACUCCUAUAUUACAUAUGGAUGCAUUUUUUUUUUUAUAAAAAAAAUAAAACACAGCUAAUUCAUUUCAUUCAUAACUGUGGUUAUAAUACAACAUGACAUAUGCUCAUGAAUUUAGAAACAAGUGUACGACAAUGUCGCUCAAGCUAACAAAUGAUCAAUGUUAUUUAAGUUUUUACAUGAUGCUUACCUUCAUCAAUUUUGCUAAAAAAAAAAAAAAAAAGCCUGUUUAAAACACUCUCCAAAAACACUUUUUUAAUUUUUAAAAACUUCAAAAUUUAAAACUUUUUUGUUAAACUAUUUUUUUAAAUUACAGUUUUUGAAACUAUUUUAAAUUUUUUAGUUUUGGGACUAAAACUAAAACAUGUAAAAGUAUUUAGAAUAAACAUGUAAAAGAAUUAUUGAGAAAUAACCUUUAUUUAUUGAGAAAUAAGAAAAUUUAUUAACUAAAAGUAACACCUAGAUCGAAAAGAAUUUUAUUUAAAAUAAACCAUCAAAUUAGUUUAGACACUGGUUAGUUUAGACACUCAUAGUAAGAUCUUGUGGACCUAAAUUGUCGGUUUUAUUGAGUUUAAGACUAUUUAUUAUAUUUUUAUACUUUAUAGACUAAAUUGAAGUGAUAGAUUUUUAUUAGUCCAAUUUGUCAAAUAAUGGGCCAUUCAAUUACCCUCCUAGCGAUGCUUCCCCAAUAACGACAAGAAAAACUUGUAACAAGAUAGCCAAAACCGAAUUCUAAACAAAGUGUUAUGAAAUUUUUGAUCUAAUUAUUAUGUGAACUCUAUAGUUUCCCAAAAUCCCAUGGCUUCAUCUGAAGUCGCAUCAACUUGGAUGCCUUUGCAAUUAAGUUUCCCAAGUCAUCUUUGAUAAUGAUACCAAUUUGAUCCCUCAUUUUCCAUCACUUUCUAUUUAACAAAUUGACUGUUUUUUCAAAGAAACAAAGAACUUUUUGUUCCAUAUCGUUUUUUUAUGAUGAUAUUUGAUGUAACUUUAUGUCCCUAAAUAAUUCAUUAGAUAACAUUAGUUUGCUCUGGUGUGUUACUGCAUGUUAAAUUCAAUGCGAUUUUAAAAGAUGCACAAUUUAUUCUACGGUGACAAAAUUAAUUAUGUAAAUUAAGUUUAUUGGGAUUAAAUGUGAGUUGAAUUUACAACUAUUUAUAUUUGAGUACAUUCUAGAUCGAAAAUACACGAGAUUACACUCAAAUACCAUUUUUCUCAUCUUUUUUCUUACACUCAAAUAUCAUUUUCAACUCCAGAACAUCAAAAUUCUUCAUCUGUUUCAUUCAACAUAUGAUAUACAUCUCCUUCGUUCCAUAAACGAAUCCUACUUGUUAUUAAGGGUAAAUUACCCUCAAUUCAUCAGAAGAUAACGUAGAUUUCACCAUUUUAGUCUUUUCUUACAAUCAAUUAGCAUUUUACUUCUUCAUCUCUUUCGUUCAACAUGUAAUCUUCAUCUUCUUCAAUUUAGAAUUGAAUCAUACCUAUCAUUAGGGAUAAAUUACCCCUAUUCAUGAACGUAGGCCUCACCUAAAAAAAAUACACUUGUAGAUAUUGCAAGAUCAUUUUACUUUGCAUGCCACAUAGUUAAAAGUGUAUGAACAUUGUUGAAAAACAAAGUAAAAACUAAAAAAACUAUGGUGUUAAUCCACUAUUACAACAACCUUUUCUAGAAAUAGUAACCACAAGGGUCAUAAAUAUUUCCAUGGAGUUUGGGAAUCACUUCAAUCCUGUUUCACUUUGAGUUCCAUCACCCUCAAAACCCUUCUUCCAAGUACACACUGGUAAAGUCAUUCACUGUUUCUCUUUCAUUAUAAUUUAGGUAACUUUUUAUACUUUUCUUUUUCCAAAAUGGCUUUCACAUUCAUUAUCUUGAUUGUGUUUUUGCCUCCAUUCACUUCUCUGCUUCAUCUGACACACUCUUCCCUUUGAGAACAUAUCACUAAACUUUUCUUCAUUCUUAUCACGUGGGAUUCUGACAUUUUUUUAUUUAUUUUCAACUUCUCUCUCUCAAUCAUCAAUCUUUUUUGGCUCAAGUUUCUUGCUUUUUCUUGUGUGACACUUGUGUACUUUGUACACUGUAUACUUCUUUUUUUGAAGGUUUUUUUCUUUAUCUCUUAUGAGGUUUAUGCAAAGUUGAGAUUUUGUAACUGUUUUGAGGUACUAUUCUUGCAACAAUUGAAGUGGGGUCUUUUAUCUUGUGAUGGAGUCUUGGAGUUUUGAUUCACGUGAUAAAGGGUAUGUUUCAAAUGACACACUUGGUAGUAGAACCAAAGGUUCAAUCUUAGGUUGGGAUUUGAAAACCCCAUCUAGUUUUUUACCUCAACAAAACAUAGAAAAUGACAACAAUAAUCAUGGUUUUGAGGAAUUGGGUUUUCAUGGUAUGUUGGGAAAACAAUUGUCUAAUGUUGUUGAUGAUGAUGAUGAUGUUGUUGUUGGUAGCAAAAUUGUCACUAGUAAUUCUUUUGUUAUGGCUACACCAAAUGCAUUUUCAGAAAGAGAACAACAACACUUCAAUUCCAAGCAUUCAAAUUCAAUAGGUGACACUAAUGGUUCUAAUUCACUCAUUGAUUUGAAGCUUGGUAGAUUUGGUGAUCAUAGAGAUGGAAUUGGUACACCAUUUUCAAAGGGGACCACGAUUUUGUCGUCUUCUGGGUCGUCGACACCAUCGAAGAGGGUGAGGUCUUCGGCAAUCCAUUCUCAGAUUGCUUACUGUCAAGUAUAUGGAUGUAAUAAGGAUUUGAGUAGUUGUAAAGAUUAUCACAAGAGGCAUAAAGUUUGUGAAGUUCAUUCAAAGACUUCUAAAGUAAUAGUGAAUGGAAUUGAACAAAGGUUUUGUCAACAAUGUAGUAGGUUGGUCAAUUUUUACAAGCUAAUGUUUUGUUUCACAUCUUUUGGUUUUUACACAUUGAUGUUAUGUUUGGAAUUUUUUAUAAUAUGUUGCAAAAAAUUUAAGUUGCUUGUGAAUAAUCAAAUAAUCCCAAAUCUGCAUUAUUUGUGGGAAAAUUGGUUGGUUUACUAACUUUUUGAUAGUCCAAAUUAAUCAAUAUAUGGUCUUGGAUAAGCUUCUUGAACUUAAUGGAUUCAGUCGUUUUCGGGUACUAAUUCCUUUUCUAAAACUGAAAAAACAACCAUUUUAUGAAUAUACUUAUUUUUCUGUUGAUUAUAGUAUUUUUGCUCUCUAAUUUUUUUGACUUUUACUUUAAUAAGGUUGGAUUUUAGUCACUUUAGAGCAGAAAACAAGACAUAUCUGUUGAUGAGAAAAUCAAUGCUUAAUAUUCAUCAACAGUUGAAUGAUUAUUGUUUCCUCUAAAGUGAAUUUACUCAUUUUAGAGUAGCCAAAUUCUACUUUCUAAAGUGAACAAGCUUGUAACUAAAAGCUAUACUUCUAUGAUAUAUAUAGUGCUUCUGUAAUGUUUAGCUUACUAUUCAGGUUUCAUUUGCUGGCUGAAUUUGAUGAUGGUAAGCGUAGCUGUCGUAAACGUCUUGCAGGCCAUAAUGAACGUCGUAGAAAGCCACAAGUUGGUAUUCAUUCUGGAAGAGCUGGGAGGUUGCUUCAGUCAUAUGGGGGUAAUAUUCUGCAGAAAAUAAUUUAAUCUUUUCUUCCUUCUCAAUGUUCCACCCUUCCUAAAUGUUAACUACUUUUUAGUGGAUUUAGAUUUCUUGCAUUUACAAAUUCACGCAUCCAAGCAGUCAGCACAUUGGUGGCCGUUAGAUCAAGAUCAGAGUUUGCAGAAAGCAAGCAAAUUUUGAUUUUCUUAAAAACACUUAAAUAUCGAGCUUGAAAUCUGGGCAGUCUGAUCUUGAUUUAUCGACCACCUAUGUACUGAUUGCGGAAUGCGUGGGAUUUGUGACCGCAUGCAUAUAUUUUGCUAGAGUUGAAAAUUAGAGUAUAUUGGAUUUGGAUCACAAUAAUUUUAAAAUCCUUCACAGAUAAUGAUAUCAUCUACUUGGUUUUGAUGGGUAUAUAGAAGCAUGCCAUAGUAAAAUUUGUUCCCAUACUGAAUUUUCACUUUUGGACUUAAUUUCUCAAUUUUGAUAUUGAUUUUGGUAUUCUGUUGUACAUUUGCUUUACAAUUUUCCGCAAAGAUGCAAUGCCUAUCAUCUGGCCGAAAUAUUCCAUGAUAUGUAAUUCAGUUUCAUCGAUUAAACUGUGUUGUUUAAGUGAUUUUCAUAAAAAAAUAAGCACGUGCUCUUACCCCGAUGAAGGGAAAAAAGAUGUGAUACUUUUUGAAUUCUGAUUGAUUCUAUGGAUAUAGAUCUACAACAUGGUGAUUAUGUGCCAUUUGUUACAAAUUUUCUCUUUUGUUUCUGAAUUAUUCUCCCACUUAUGUUGGUUUUGCACCAUCCUUUAUCAUUUGUCAUCUUUGGUGUAAAGCUAGCUUUAAUUUGGAUUCUAUAGUCACAUGGUGGAUAUGAACCAUUAGUGACUUGUUCAACAAUUACAGUGGAAUUAUAUCUGAAACAAAAAGAUUCAUUAUGCGGUUUAGUCACUAUCAUAGUCGGUAAUCUUAGAGUGCCAAAUUUCCGUCAACGGGAACCAUUUGGACAGCUAAUUAAGCACUUCUAGCAUAAGCUCUUACACAUAAGUGCUUAUGUAUAAGCUAUUUCUAUAAGAAAAGAUAAAAUAAAGUCAAUUUAUUUUCGUAUAAGCUAUAAGUUGUUUUUAGAAAUUAUACUAGAAAGUUUAAGGAAAGAAAUUGAAAACAACAUAUGGAUUUGUCAUAAGUUGUUUCCAUAAGCUAUUCCAAGCAGUCUCACAAGUUCUUAUGUUAGUAGAUAAGCUCAAAUAAGCCAAUGCAAGCAAGCUGUAAAGCUAUCUCUGCCUAUGUAUGAUAAUUAUCCAUUUACUUUCCUGAUUAUUAAUAUUAUAAAGCUUUUCAAAAUGACUUUUUUUUACCAUUUUUUAUUUAAUAUUAAACCAUAUUGGUAAAGGUUUUCAUAAUAUAUAUUUUCUGUUGUUGUAAUCCAUGUUUGUCUCUGAGUAAUUAACAAGAUUGUGUGGUACUUACAGAUAGCAGAUUCCAAGGAACCAUGCUAACAUCGGCAUCUUUUAUAUGCCAAGACAUACUCCCCGGUGAGGUCUUUUCUUCUGAGAAAUGUGGAAAUAGUAACUGGUGGAGACCUAUAAAAGCCGAAGGUGGAACCGGUUUUAGGCCUCUUUCUUCUAUUCCAAUUACAAAUGCACAUCCUCAGUCAAGAACUCUGUUUCCUUCAUACAACAAUAAACAAUUUCCUUUUCUUCAAGAAAACGGUGCUACAUCUGCUACAGGAAGCAUCUUCUGUGAAAACAAUAGUCAAUAUCCUCCAAUCCAAGGAGGCUCGAAUUCCGGAUCACAAUCAUUAUUCCAAGAUACCUCCUUAGGAAGCGAAGACUUCAAUGUUUUUGAAACAGAAUCAGCUGUUCAAGGAUUAUCGGGAGUAUCGGACGGUGGUUGUGCUCUCUCUCUUCUGUCAUCCCAAUCCCAAAACUCUUCAAGCCAAUCGACAGGAAUUCCCAUGCCUGGUCAUUUAGUUAUUCCGAGCAGCCAUAGCCAUUAUAGCAUGAGUCAUGUUUCUGAAAGUGGCGUCUCGGAUAGGUUUCCGUCUGAGUUAAAUCAUACGGAUGGAAGUCAUCUUAGUCCUAUACUGAUAUCAAACAAUAAUGAAAUCGCCCAUUUUGAACUGGUAGAUGGAGUUUUCCAAGGGUCAGAUUUUGUCAACGUGAAAGACCGUCUUUCCUGUGAAGAUGGCACGACCAUUGACUUGCUUCAACUGUCGUCACAACUUCAGCGUGUUGAGCAUCAGAGGCGAGCCUUGCAGGUGAAGCGAGAAAAUGAUUCUUCCUGCUCUCUACAGAUUACGUAAAAUGCUGUCGACAGGUACAUUUUAUGCUUCAUCAUAAUAUUUAAUCACCAAAUUUUCUCUACACCGGCUACUUUAGCGCUUCAACUGUACCAUGUCGUACUACUGUGUAUUUUUCUCUAGCUUGAAUUCUGCACAUUAUGCUCUAGCUUGAAAUUUCGUUUCUAAUUUUUUGGACAAAAACCUUGGCUGUAAAUUUAGGACUUGAUCAAUGACUGACCCAAAAUAUGUGAAUUGCGGUCACUAGUGAAAUUAAGAAAGUUAAGGUUUUAUAGUGAUAAUGCAAUGCACCUCUCUCUAUACAAAUUAUUCAUAUCGCAUUCACCGCUCUCUAUACAAAUCUUUGAAGAAUAAAUCUUUGAAGUCGGAAGACGAAAUAUUUGAUAGAUGUGCGAUUGAAAUAAAAAGUCAUUUUUGUGGUUUCUAUUUGCAUCCAGCUCAUAUUCAACAUUGCUUUCCACUAAAUCACUCACAACAUUUCUAAGAUUUCAUUUUCCAUUUUUGCAGAAAAGAACUUCUGCAUCUGCAGCUUGUUGUGACCGGAAAUAUUCGUAUCAGGAUAAGAACAUAGUGUCUGGAAAGAACUUAAUAUCUGGCAACUCAUAAGAUGCUAACUAGUUUAAGUAGUUUUACUUGCACUGAAUCGGCUCGUGAAGCUGACCAAUGGCGGCUGGGACACAAUAGUCCCUCUCCAUCUACAUAUAUCCAACUAGAAUGUAAUAAUAAAUAAAAGCCUGAUAUGUAUCAAUAUGUGGCAUUCAGGUUUUUCUCAUAAACACUUCAAUAAGGACAAUAGUUAGUGACAAGUGAUGUCCAAUUUAGUGAAGGUAAUCUAAUAAUGUUCAAAUUUUGAUGAAUGGGGCACCUUACAUUGGUAUGGCACUGACUACCAAGUACAUGGUUUUUCUCAAGUUACAGAUAUAUGUUAAUUUAAAUUUUAGAAUAUGUAAGAAAACAUAAUUUUAUAUAAAUAAAUGACAAAAAAAACGUUAAUUUCACGGAUAUAUUUAUCAAUAUGUUGAAUUUAGAAACUAAUUUGACCGAUGCUCAUUACGUUAAGGACUGAUUUGUAUAUUCACUCAAAUAAUAGAACAUAAUUUUUCACUUAUUGUAAAGAAUAGUGAAUUCCAGUAUUUAAAGAACUGAAGCUUCUUUAAAUUUUUUGAGUGGAGAAGUUCCCUUACAAUUUGAUUUCAACCUAGCUUUAAGUCACAUUUACGACAGUUCAGAAUUACAUGGUUUUUUCAUGAAAUGUAUUUGCAGAUUUUACUCUUCCAACUUAUAUUGGUUUUUUUUUGUGGUGGUCGGGGGUUGAAUCCCGGACCUUGCAUAUAUUAUGCAUUGUCCAUACAAACUGAGUUAGGCUCACGAUGACAACUUAUAUUGGUUUAAAUGUGAGGAAAAUUGGUCUAGUGGUAAAAAUAUAUGUAUUUGAUCCAUAGGUUCUAAGUUCGAACUCCGAUAGCGCUGAUUAUCUUGAAUAGAGGUUAAUGUUAAUCUCUUUGUAAGUACUCCUUAAAACUAAGAAUUUCUUUAUUUAUAAUGUAUUAGGGCACCAUUUUCUCACCCUUAAUUUUUUGCAUCAAGACAAAAAGUGAGAGAAUUUGAUUUUUUUUUUCCUCAAGCAAAAACUUAAUUAAAAUAUUGUAAAAAAUAAAAUAAAGUAUUCGAUAUUUUAUGUUCCUGAUUUUACUUGUAAUAGUUAGAUCAAAUAUGCAUCUUAAAUACAUAACAUGGUAUUUUUACAAGAUUUUGCAUGUUAAAUAGGAAUGCAAUUCUUUCAAUGAAUCAGGAGUUGAGUUCAUAUCCCAUAAACACGUGGCUUCAACUUCCUCAGUCGGUGCGAGAACCUCUUUGAUGGAUGUUACAUAAGUACCUAUGUAAGCGUUCGUUGAAUCUUGAGACCUAUCUUUACCUCUAAUUAGCUUCUAGGAUCUAACUCGCCUAAAAAAAUUAUUAUAAGAAAACAAGAAUGUAAUUAAUAUAUAAUAGUCGUAUAAAUAAGUAUAAUGUAGUCAUCACAUCUCAAUCUCAUAUUAUGAGUAGAGUCGUCGUAAUGGGUUAGCCUAUAUGGACCGGUCCGACAACCAGAAUAAAACACAGGGCUUGGGCCUUAAAAUUCUAGUCCAAAUUUUGGAAUUUGUUGUUCACACUUAGAAGAUGGCUAAAAAACACCAAUAAAAGACCGAAAUACCCCUCGGCAGUUAUCUGUCAUUGGCGUUAUAUUCAUCUGCAGUUUGAUGCCGCCAUAUUCGUCGGCAGUUAACUAUUGUCGGAUCCAUUGGUAGUUAACAGCCAAUGCAUUCAUUUAUGCAGACAACAAGUUCUGAAUAAUGAUUUUCAAGCCAUUUUCAGCCUAUUUAUUACCUGUCAUUCAACCACAUCAAUUCCAGAGGCAAUACAACUCAUACAUCAUUUAAAAUCAGUCAUAAACAAGAAAAUACAUAAUCUUUUACAAUUGACCAAAAUUAAAUCAAUCAGGCAUUUUGUUUAAAUUACAAGAAUGUUUGAAAUUCAUCAAAAUAUUAAUGAGUAUUUGAAAUUAAUCAACACAUUACAUAUCAUUACAUAAAAUCUCUAUUGACAUUCUAUGCACAUGCAGAUGGAACGAACACAAAGAUAUAAUAUAUUAUCUUUAAUUAUAUUCAUAAACAUAAAUCCUACGUCGCUAUCGUCACGAAUAAGUCAAGGCACAUAGCUCGCCGUUUUCCACAUGUCUUCAUCUUUAUCUGUUAUUAGGUUCAUGCAAGGCAUCUGAGCAAAUAUAUGACGUGUAUAUUGGUUUUCACCAAGAUACUCAAAAUAUUUGUUAAGUUGUGCCUUCAAAUCAUCAAUAGUGUCGAUCGGUUUUAUGAUAACCUUAAUUGUCUUUUUAAAAGCAGAGUACCGACACGGCCUUCAAUUUGUACAACCUCGGACAUGUUUAACUUCACAAAAGCUUUAUAAAAAAUCAUACAUUAGAAUGAGGUUAAACAAAACGUAAUAACCAAUAAAUUGACGGAAACAUACACAUAUAUAUCAAAUGCGUAAACAUUAAUAAUGAAUAAAAACCAAUUUCAUUUGAUGCGAUAUGACUGAUUUUUGGUGGGGGCGAAUUCUCACCCUUUUCAAUCUUCAUGACAUCUCGGAACCUAACAUGUUGAUCCAAAUAUUCAAAUUCCCAAGUCAAUGCCUCGUUACUCCUGUGAUUGUUCAACUCCGUAGAUGAUGGAGGUAGUGGACAAUUAUCUUUCAAAAAAAAGAAGCACAAAAUGAUUGUGAAUUAAGCCAAUACACAUGCUGGGAUUUUUUGCUUAGCCGGUGGUACCCCUCUAAGUUGAAAAAAAGAUUCUGAAGUUCCAAUUUCAUGAUUUGUCAACAAUACCACAAGCCUAUUGUAAUAAUUUGCAACGAUUUGUCCCAUGUCCAGAAGCGUCAACAACUUAUUAACAAGUGCAAUACCACCACUAUUUGUGGGAGGAUGCAAGUCAUUUAAGAUAUAGUUAUAACGAUCCUCACCUGCAAAUACCCCAACAUAAUCAUUUCUAUGAUUUUUCACCUCUUGAAUAAGAUGUCGACGAACCAUGAUAUGACUUUCUUCGGUCAAUUCCAAAAACUCGGCUAUAGCCCGAAAUCCACAAUUUUCAUCGCCUAUAACAUCCACCACAUUUUCAAUAAAUGGAACCAUGAAUUUUGGCAUAUAAUCAAUAGGGUUCAAAACCUGAAUAGGCGUUGGAACCAGAAUAGGCUUUGGAAUUGGAGUAGACUUUGGAAACCGAGUAGGUGGUGGAAGUAGGGAACGUGAUGUUUUACCAAGACGAGCACCUUUCCUUUUAGGACAUGAUGGCGUUAUUGGUGACAAUUGAUUAUCCGGAUGUUAGGAAUCAACACGCUCCCACGAAGAAGGGAUUCGACUAGGCGAUGCCACUUUUGCUCUAGACCUCACAAUUUCAACUUUUUUAUUGGCUCCCUUGGUUGGUAUUUUUCAUGGUGGUGGAGACAACACUAUGGUGUCUAGAAAUGCCAACUAUCGCGAAAACCUCUUUGAUUUCUAGCCUACUUUGAUCAUGGAUUUUCUUGAGACGUUCUGGAACACCAUUUCGCUCAUCCUCGACAGAAAAACCAUCUUAAUUACUUUCUUCACCCAUACAUAACCUCUGCCAAUGACGGCGUAUCUCAUCCAAUAAAAUAGGCUUGUUGUCACGGAUUUUCUUAGCAAUGAAGCUUGCACAUGGUAGCCCAUGCGAUGUCCUUUAAACACAACCGCAACUUUCCUUGUCCAUACACAAUGUUUCCCUGCAACAUUGCUCUUCCAAAACAAUGUUGCCCAAAGCAUAUCUAGACACAUAACCCCCCAACCCAUAGUAAAAAGUGACGUCUUUGAAUCUAUAUUCCAAUACAGUACAACUCCUCCCAAAUGAUGUUUGUAUCGUGUAACACCCCGUUUUCCCAACAUAAAAAUUUCAUUUAAUUAAUCAGAGUAUUCACAUAAACGGAAUGUCACAUUCUUUUCUUUAAAUCAUAAACUGAAUAAAUAACUAUUUAUCCUUUAAAAUUCAAAUACAAGAUCUUUAAUACUUCGCAGUGGAAUUUAUUCAAUAACUAAACAGUCUUUGGCACGAAUGCCUCUUCAUAAUUGUCUCAUAAAAAUUCAAUCUAAAACAUAGUCAUAAAUCUUCAAAAACAAUACGUAAGGAAUAGAAAAGCAAUAACAAAGUUCCCAUCCCGUUACGUAUCAGAGCACCUAAGACACACGAGAGAGAAUGCUCACACGACAUUAACUAUUCUUGGUUACCUGCAAGUUACUCAUACGAAGAGCAACAUUUCCAAACAGAAAGGGUGAGAUUUCACAAAACAAUAAUAUUAAGCAUAUAAUUCAACAAUUAUAUUUAAUCAACAUCAAAAACAUCUUAACAUUCUUUAUAGAUAAUAAUAUAUCAUUUAACACUUCAAUCAUAGUUUGUAUAAACAAUUACAACUUCACAGCUUAUCAACAUAAACAUCCUUGACUCGACAAAUGCGACUCUAACUCGAUUAUGCAACUUAGACCUCUUAUAUGCAUGUGGUACCAAUACGGGGCAUCAAGUCCCAAUCGAUAUUUGAGUAUUAUUAUACUUCCGGAGCAUCAAGCCCCAAUCGCUGAAUGCUAAUGCAUGGACUCGACCUCUUAAACAUCUUAAUUCAACGACCUCUUAAAUAGUCCAAUAAUUUGGAACAUCAUUAUUAACAUCUUAAUCAACUUAGACUGACUCAUGCAACUUAGUUAAAUUACAAUAGCAGCAUAGGCAGAUUACAUCAACAGCAAGACAUAAAAAUAUCAAUUGCAAUUCAACAACAUCUUAAAUAUUCAAUAAUAUCUCAAGUAAUGCACAUAAUCAAUGUAUCACAUCUUAUUCAAUCAUCAACAUCUUAAAACAUCAUACAUACAUAUAACACUUCAUCAAUCAUGGACAAUAUCGUAUUCACAAACAUAUACAUACAUAUACUAAUUCAUCAAUCAUAUUCAAUUAUUCAUUGUGACCUACGUGAAGUAAUUUGACGAUAACUCAAGUUCUAUAAAUCGUUUUGACGUCAGACCAACGACAUUAGAAAGCUAACAUCCAUACCUACAACUUUCAGAAUCAUAGACUCAAGAUUAUUGAAUGUUAGUCCCACCCUUACCUUGGAAUAUAAAAAUCGCAGCUUCCUAGGUCUCUCUCCUUUCUCUUGGCUUUUUCUCCCUUUUCUCCAAAAUUGUUUGUACGUUAUGUUUUUCUAAACUAGGUCUCUCCUAUUGAUAACUUUUCUUUUCUAUUUUAUCUUAUUUCUCUUUCUCCCCCAAAACUCUCUAAAAUCUCAUAACAACCCCUAAACUCAAUAUUCUAUUCUAAUAUAUAUAUAUAUAUAUGGCAUUUCAAAUGAGAGGACUUUUUAAAUGAGAGGGUGAGAGAAAUUAACUUAGACCGUUGGAUUUAAAUCAAGGCUUCAGAUUUAAUUGCUCUGUAAAAAGGGGUCAUGUAUUGUAACCUCCACCUCUUCUCUUCUCCACUCUGUUCUUAUCUCUCUCCCGAGUAGUUUUGUGCUGCUUCUUCUUCAUGUUUUUUUAUAUUGUUCAUCUUUGCACCAUAAAUAUGAGCAUCGAUUGAAGCAUAACAUAGUAGGAGCAUAAAUUAGACACAUGAAGUUUAGUUUGAUCUCAUUCAACAUCGAUUGACACCUGAAUAACUUUGGGUGCAUCAAAUUGUUUCUUCAGUCUUCAAAAAUAAAUCUCCAUGGAACCAUCUCAAAUCUUCUUUCCUAAAAUUGAAUGGUAACAAUCAAUACCAUCAAUAUUAAUAAUCCAAGGGUUUAUUUGACAAAGUUCUCUUGGCUGAUUCACAGAAAAAUUAAAAUAUGAGUCAAAGGUUGCAAGGAGGAAAGAGAUGAAGAGGCACUAGAUAUGUGCUAGCGCAGAUCUGACGAGUGUUCGUCGUUGUUGUUCCUAUUUAUCGGCGACGUUCCUGUUCACCAAAGUUCGUCGCCACUGUUCUUCUUUUUUAUCCGAGUUUAGCUGUUCUUGAUUUUCAUAUUACUUUUUAAACUGGUUUUUUUAAUGGUAAUACGUAGUUUCUUUUUUUAAGAAGAAAAGAAGAAACGUGUUAUAACUUAUAAUAAUGAAAGAGAUAAUGAAAUUAGAUUAAAGAUUAGAAGUCUGGAUUCAUAUGAUGCACACAAAAGGGGAAUGAAAAAAGGGAGAAGAAGCAACAGGGAGAUGAAACGGCUGGAGAAGAAGCACGCAAAAGGGGAAUGAAAAAA
Molecule: long non-coding RNA, 17865 nt
Filed under: Medicago truncatula (barrel medic)
Lineage: Eukaryota; Viridiplantae; Streptophyta; Magnoliopsida; Fabales; Fabaceae
Description: long non-coding RNA (MTRU_LNC008555)
Source: RNAcentral